GAGGAAUAUUGGUCAAUGGGCGGAAGCCUGAUGCAGCAACGCCGCGUGAGUGAUGACGGUCUUCGGAUUGUAAAGCUCUGUCUUUUGGGACGAUAAUGACGGUACCAAAGGAGGAAGCCACGGCUAACUACGUGCCAGCAGCCGCGGUAAUACGUAGGUGGCAAGCGUUGUCCGGAUUUACUGGGCGUAAAGGAUGUGUAGGCGGAUACUUAAGUGAGAUGUGAAAGCCCCGGGCUCAACCUGGGGACUGCAUUUCAAACUGAGUAUCUAGAGUGCAGGAGAGGAAAGCGGAAUUCCUAGUGUAGCGGUGAAAUGCGUAGAGAUUAGGAAGAACAUCAGUGGCGAAGGCGGCUUUCUGGACUGUAACUGACGCUGAGGCAUGAAAGCGUGGGGAGCAAAC
RNAcentral lists this ribosomal RNA (400 nucleotides) under uncultured bacterium. Its description in RNAcentral is "bacterial SSU rRNA". It matches the Rfam family "Bacterial small subunit ribosomal RNA", at positions 356 to 773 of the family's 1533-position model. The record is from RNAcentral.